UACGUAGGGUGCAAGCGUUGUCCGGAAUUAUUGGGCGUAAAGGGCUCGUAGGCGGUCCAUCGCGUCGGGAGUGAAAAGCUGGGGCUUAACCCCAGUCCUGCUUCCGAUACGGGUGGACUAGAGGUAGGUAGGGGAGAACGGAAUUCCAGGUGUAGCGGUGAAAUGCGCAGAUAUCAGGAGGAACACCGGUGGCGAAGGCGGUUCUCUGGGCCUUACCUGACGCUGAGGAGCGAAAGCAUGGGGAGCAAACAGG
Molecule: ribosomal RNA, 253 nt
Filed under: uncultured bacterium
Lineage: Bacteria
Description: partial 16S ribosomal RNA
Rfam family: Bacterial small subunit ribosomal RNA
Source: RNAcentral